UACGGAGGGUGCGAGCGUUGUCCGGAUUUAUUGGGUUUAAAGGGUGCGUAGGUGGCUAAUUAAGUCAGUGGUGAAAUACAGCCGCUCAACGGUUGAGGUGCGUUUGAUACUGAUUAGCUUGAAACAAGUAGAGGCUGCCGGAAUGGAUGGUGUAGCGGUGAAAUGCAUAGAUAUCAGCCAGAACACCGAUUGCGAAGGCAGGUUGCUACGUUUGAUUUGACACUGAGGCACGAAAGCGUGGGGAGCAAACAGG
This 253-nucleotide ribosomal RNA is filed under the name uncultured bacterium. Its description in RNAcentral is "partial 16S ribosomal RNA". It matches the Rfam family "Bacterial small subunit ribosomal RNA", at positions 524 to 776 of the family's 1533-position model. The record is from RNAcentral.